UACGUAGGGUGCAAGCGUUGUCCGGAAUUAUUGGGCGUAAAGAGCUCGUAGGCGGUCUGUCGCGUCUGCUGUGAAAACUCGGGGCUUAACCCCGGGCCUGCAGUGGGUACGGGCAGACUAGAGUGCGGUAGGGGAGACUGGAAUUCCUGGUGUAGCGGUGAAAUGCGCAGAUAUCAGGAGGAACACCGGUGGCGAAGGCGGGUCUCUGGGCCGUAACUGACGCUGAGGAGCGAAAGCGUGGGGAGCGAACAG
This 252-nucleotide ribosomal RNA is filed under the name uncultured bacterium. RNAcentral's name for it is "partial 16S ribosomal RNA". It matches the Rfam family "Bacterial small subunit ribosomal RNA", at positions 524 to 775 of the family's 1533-position model. The record is from RNAcentral.